AUGGAGAAGUGGGAAGCCCCGAAGGAACCUGUGUGAAAAACGUUGAGUUCUAGUAUGCAGCUCCUGAUGGCAGCAGUCACCAAAGCCCAUCUCCAUUGGCCUUGUGCCCUACGUCCUUGUUGUGUGAUGAGUUCCCUGUGUAAGGCUGGUUUUGACACCAUGGUGGGGAACCAGGAAUCUGGUGAGGUCCAUACUGGGUGAUGCUGGCAGAGCAGGGUGGGCAGGGAUAAAAUGCUGAUGUCUAGAUGAGUCUCUGUUCUAGGAAGGACUGGUCCCCUGUUGUUAGAGGUAGCCAGAGCAGUUAGGGAUCUACUUUUUCUUUUUUUUGUGUGUGUGUGUGGUAUGGGGAUUGAAGCCAGCGCCUUGCCCAGGCUGGACAGGCACUCUCCUACUGAGCUACAUCCCCAACCCUUAAAAAAAAUGAUUUUGAGACUGAGUCUCAAAAUUUUGUUGCCCAGGCUGAUCCUGAACUCCUGGACACGAGACAUCUGCCUCAGACUCCAGAGUAGCUAGGACUACAGACCCUUGCCAGUGUACCCCUGGCUUCACACCUUUGUUUAUUUGUUGAUUCAUUCAUUCACUCAUUCAUUCAUUCACUCAUUCCUGGGGAUUGAACCCAGCGGCACUCUACCUCUGAGCUAUGUUCCCAGCCCUUUUAUAUUACUUUUGAUACAGGGUUUCACUAGGUUGCCUAGAUUGACCUUGAACUUGUGAUCUUCCUGCCUCAGCCUCCGGAGUAGGUAGAAUUACAGGUGUGUAGCAUGAUGCCCGCUGGGGGUCUGCUUUUUAAAGAGGUUUCUGUGGGUG
RNAcentral lists this long non-coding RNA (807 nucleotides) under Marmota monax (woodchuck). The record is from RNAcentral. Lineage: Eukaryota; Metazoa; Chordata; Mammalia; Rodentia; Sciuridae.